RNAcentral lists this ribosomal RNA (253 nucleotides) under uncultured bacterium. Its description in RNAcentral is "partial 16S ribosomal RNA". It matches the Rfam family "Bacterial small subunit ribosomal RNA", at positions 524 to 776 of the family's 1533-position model. The record is from RNAcentral.
UACGAAGGGGGCUAGCGUUGUUCGGCAUCACUGGGCGUAAAGCGCACGCAGGCGGAUCGAUAAGUCGGGGGUGAAAGCCCGGGGCUCAACCUCGGAAUUGCCUUCGAUACUGGCGGUCUCGAGUCCGGGAGAGGUGAGUGGAAUUCCUAGUGGAGAGGUGAAAUUCGUAGAUAUUAGGAAGAACACCAGUGGCGAAGGCGGCUCACUGGCCCGGUACUGACGCUCAGGUGCGAAAGCGUGGGGAGCAAACAGG